AAACUUUCAACAACGGAUCUCUUGGUUCUGGCAUCGAUGAAGAACGCAGCGAAAUGCGAUAAGUAAUGUGAAUUGCAGAAUUUAGUGAAUCAUCGAAUCUUUGAACGCACAUUGCGCCCUUUGGUAUUCCGAGGGGCAUGCCUGUUCGAGCGUC
RNAcentral lists this ribosomal RNA (154 nucleotides) under epacrid root endophyte E4-1-2. RNAcentral describes it as "5.8S ribosomal RNA". It matches the Rfam family "5.8S ribosomal RNA". From Rfam's summary of the family: 5.8S ribosomal RNA (5.8S rRNA) is a component of the large subunit of the eukaryotic ribosome. It is transcribed by RNA polymerase I as part of the 45S precursor that also contains 18S and 28S rRNA. Lineage: Eukaryota; Fungi; Ascomycota. The record is from RNAcentral. RNAcentral also lists the same sequence under 1 other name.